GAAUAUUGCGCAAUGGGCGAAAGCCUGACGCAGACACGCCGCGUGGAGGAAGACACCCCUAUGGGGCGUAAACUCCUUUUAUGUGAGAAGAAGGUCCCGGUCGCCGGGAUUUGACGGUACCACAUGAAUAAGCACCGGCUAACUCCGUGCCAGCAGCCGCGGUAAUACGGAGGGUGCAAGCGUUGUCCGGAUACACUGGGUGUAAAGGGUGUGUAGGCGGAGCUUCGAGUCAGUGGUGAAAGCCUGCGGCUUAACCGUAGAAUUGCCAUUGAUACUGUUGUUCUUGAGUACUGGAGAGGCUACUAGAAUUCGUGGUGUAGCGGUGAAAUGCGUAGAUAUCACGAGGAAUACCAGAGGCGUAGGCGGGUAGCUGGACAGAUACUGACGCUGAGGCACGAAAGCGUGGGGAGCAAACAGG
RNAcentral lists this ribosomal RNA (418 nucleotides) under uncultured bacterium. Its description in RNAcentral is "bacterial SSU rRNA". It matches the Rfam family "Bacterial small subunit ribosomal RNA", at positions 359 to 776 of the family's 1533-position model. The record is from RNAcentral.